UUUGAAAGUAAAAGUUGGGGAACAAGGUUUCCGUAGGUGAACUGCGGAAGGAUCAUUGUCGUGAUCCUUAAACAAAACAGACCGCGAACGUGUCCCUCGUGCCGCCGGGCUUCGGCCCGGCACGAGGUCCCCGAGCUCCGUCCCGGAGCGGAGGGGCCACAACAGAACCCACGGCGCCUUAGGCGUCAAGGAACACCUAAAUUGCCUUGCGCGGUGGAGCGGUCGGCCCGCCUUCCGCUCCCCGCGCAGCGAUGAUAUCUUAAUCGACACGACUCUCGGCAACGGAUAUCUCGGCUCUCGCAUCGAUGAAGAACGUAGCAAAAUGCGAUACCUGGUGUGAAUUGCAGAAUCCCGCGAACCAUCGAGUUUUUGAACGCAAGUUGCGCCCGAGGCCUUCCGGCCGAGGGCACGUCUGCCUGGGCGUCACGCCAAAAGACACUCCCAACCCACCCGAGGGGGAGGGACGUGGUGUUUGGUCCCCCGUGCCGCAGGGCGCGGUGGGCCGAAGUUGGGGCUGCCGGCGAAUCGUGUCGGGCACAGCACGUGGUGGGCGACACUCAGUUGUUCUCGGUGCAGCGCCCCGGCACGCGGCCGGCGCAUCGGCCCUAAGGACCCAAGGAAGCACCGCAGCGCGUAGCCUUCCCCUGCGACCGCUACCCCAGGUCCCCCUGAAGUAGAGUCGAACCCAGG
Molecule: small RNA, 690 nt
Filed under: Saccharum sinense
Lineage: Eukaryota; Viridiplantae; Streptophyta; Magnoliopsida; Poales; Poaceae
Description: eukaryotic LSU rRNA
Rfam family: 5.8S ribosomal RNA (bases 271-426)
Source: RNAcentral